GCAAACUUGGUCAUUUAGAGGAAGUAAAAGUCGUAACAAGGUCUCCGUUGGUGAACCAGCGGAGGGAUCAUUACUGAGACUUCAUCUCAACCCUUGUGAAUUUACUUAGUGUUGCUUCGGCAGGUUUUCCCUGGGAGGGAAUUAAUCCUUAGGGCAGCCUGCCAGAGGCAUUUUUACUCUGAUUUUAUGGAUUUCUGAGUUUAAAGAAAAAAGAAAAAAACUUUCAGCAACGGAUCUCUUGGUUCUGGCAUCGAUGAAGAACGCAGC
Molecule: unclassified non-coding RNA, 267 nt
Filed under: uncultured fungus
Lineage: Eukaryota; Fungi
Description: partial contains small subunit ribosomal RNA, internal transcribed spacer 1, and 5.8S ribosomal RNA
Rfam family: Eukaryotic small subunit ribosomal RNA (bases 1-73)
Source: RNAcentral